UUCCGAUGGUGAACCUGCGGAGGGAUCAUUACACAAUAUGAAAGCGGGUUGGGACCUCACCUCGGUGAGGGCUCCAGCUUGUCUGAAUUAUUCACCCAUGUCUUUUGCGCACUUCUUGUUUCCUGGGCGGGUUCGCCCGCCACCAGGACCAAACCAUAAACCUUUUUGUAAUUGCAAUCAGCGUCAGUAAACAAUGUAAUUAUUACAACUUUCAACAACGGAUCUCUUGGUUCUGGCAUCGAUGAAGAACGCAGCGAAAUGCGAUACGUAGUGUGAAUUGCAGAAUUCAGUGAAUCAUCGAAUCUUUGAACGCACAUUGCGCCCUUUGGUAUUCCAAAGGGCAUGCCUGUUCGAGCGUCAUUUGUACCCUCAAGCUUUGCUUGGUGUUGGGCGUCUUUGUCUCUCACGAGACUCGCCUUAAAAUGAUUGGCAGCCGACCUACUGGUUUCGGAGCGCAGCACAAUUCUUGCACUUUGAAUCAGCCUUGGUUGAGCAUCCAUCAAGACCACAUUUUUAACUUUUGACCUCGGAUCCAGGUAGGGAUACCCGCUGAACUUAAGCAUAUCAAUAAGCGGAGGA
This 579-nucleotide ribosomal RNA is filed under the name fungal endophyte. RNAcentral describes it as "eukaryotic LSU rRNA". The stretch from base 207 to 360 matches the Rfam family "5.8S ribosomal RNA". Lineage: Eukaryota; Fungi. The record is from RNAcentral.